GCAGGGUUCAAAGAAGAGAUUUGCCUUCCAUGAAGCCAAUGAGUCUGAUCCCUGAAUAACAAAACAGCGAGUAUAUGUGGUCAGGUCAUCACAAAUAAACCAUUCGCAAGGUGAGGAUUGAAGUGAUUGAAGGUCCCUCGCUGCCUCCAGUUUUUGUUUCUCAUCAGCAGCAACCAUUGUUGUCAUUGUUGAUGCAGCUACAUAUGCAGCCAUCUCUGACUUGUAUACUCUUUGGGAAGAGUUAUCUUUUUCAUCUGCUG
RNAcentral lists this unclassified non-coding RNA (260 nucleotides) under Hevea brasiliensis (rubber tree). Lineage: Eukaryota; Viridiplantae; Streptophyta; Magnoliopsida; Malpighiales; Euphorbiaceae. The record is from RNAcentral.